RNAcentral lists this unclassified non-coding RNA (296 nucleotides) under uncultured fungus. RNAcentral's name for it is "partial contains small subunit ribosomal RNA, internal transcribed spacer 1, and 5.8S ribosomal RNA". The stretch from base 1 to 73 matches the Rfam family "Eukaryotic small subunit ribosomal RNA", at positions 1759 to 1831 of the family's 1831-position model. Lineage: Eukaryota; Fungi. The record is from RNAcentral.
GCAAACUUGGUCAUUUAGAGGAAGUAAAAGUCGUAACAAGGUUUCCGUAGGUGAACCUGCGGAAGGAUCAUUAACAAAGGCUUCAAAGUAGCAAAUACUUGAUGAUACCAAUGUGCAUUCAUUGAAUCCCUUUUGCUUUGGCAGAAUCCUUUCUUUUCCGUGUGGGAAGGAGAGGUAUUCUGCCAGGCGAAAUUCUUUAAAUCUUAUCCUGAUUGACUUGACUGACCAAAUAAAUAAAAUCAAAUACAACUUUCAACAACGGAUCUCUUGGCUCUCGCAUCGAUGAAGAACGCAGC